GACGAACGCUGGCGGCGUGCUUAACACAUGCAAGUCGAACGGACAGGCCCUGCUUUUGUGGGGUGCUCGAGUGGCGAACGGGUGAGUAACACGUGAGUAACCUGCCCUUGACUUUGGGAUAACUUCUGGAAACUGGGGCUCAUACCGGAUAGGAGCUCCUGCUGCAUGGUGGGGGUUGGAAAGUUUCGGCGGUUGGGGAUGGACUCGCGGCUUAUCAGCUUGUUGGUGUGGUAGUGGCUUACCAAGGCUUUGACGGGUAGCCGGCCUGAGAGGGUGACCGGCCACAUUGGGACUGAGAGACGGCCCAGACUCCUACGGGAGGCAGCAGUGGGGAAUAUUGCACAAUGGGCGGAAGCCUGAUGCGGCAACGCCGCGUGCGGGAUGACGGCCUUCGGGUUGUAAACCGCUUUCGCCUGUGACGAAGCGUGAGUGACGGUAAUGGGUAAAGAAGCAACGGCUAACUACGUG
RNAcentral lists this ribosomal RNA (468 nucleotides) under uncultured bacterium. Its description in RNAcentral is "partial 16S ribosomal RNA". It matches the Rfam family "Bacterial small subunit ribosomal RNA", at positions 28 to 507 of the family's 1533-position model. The record is from RNAcentral.